RNAcentral lists this ribosomal RNA (274 nucleotides) under uncultured bacterium. RNAcentral's name for it is "partial 16S ribosomal RNA". It matches the Rfam family "Bacterial small subunit ribosomal RNA", at positions 523 to 796 of the family's 1533-position model. The record is from RNAcentral.
CUACGGAGGAUGCAAGCGUUAUCCGGAUUUAUUGGGUUUAAAGGGUUCGUAGGCGGAAAAUUAAGUCAGUGGUGAAAGCCUGCAGCUCAACUGCAGAACUGCCAUUGAUACUGAUUUUCUUGAAUUUAUAUGAAGUGGGCGGAAUGCGUCAUGUAGCGGUGAAAUGCACAGAUAUGACGCAGAACACCAAUUGCGAAGGCAGCUCACUAAUGUAAUAUUGACGCUGAGGAACGAAAGCAUGGGGAGCGAACAGGAUUAGAAACCCUAGUAGUCC